Molecule: ribosomal RNA, 255 nt
Filed under: uncultured bacterium
Lineage: Bacteria
Description: partial 16S ribosomal RNA
Rfam family: Bacterial small subunit ribosomal RNA
Source: RNAcentral
UACGUAGGGGUGCGAGCGUUUGUCCGGAAUUAUUGGGCGUAAAGGGCUCGUAGGCGGUUUGUCGCGUCGGGAGUGAAAACCUCGGGCUUAACUCGGGGCUUGCUUUCGAUACGGGCAGACUAGAGGUAUGCAGGGGAGAACGGAAUUCCUGGUGUAGCGGUGAAAUGCGCAGAUAUCAGGAGGAACACCGGUGGCGAAGGCGGUUCUCUGGGCAUGAUCUGACGCUGAGGAGCGAAAGUGUGGGGAGCGAACAGG